Molecule: ribosomal RNA, 747 nt
Filed under: uncultured Acidobacteriota bacterium
Lineage: Bacteria; Pseudomonadati; Acidobacteriota
Description: bacterial SSU rRNA
Rfam family: Bacterial small subunit ribosomal RNA
Source: RNAcentral
CGUAGGCGGGGUGGCAAGUCGGGAGUGAAAUUUCUGGGCUUAACCCAGAGGCUGUUUCCGAAACUGCUGUGCUCGAGUGUGGGAGAGGCGCGUGGAAUUGCAGGUGUAGCGGUGAAAUGCGUAGAUAUCUGCAGGAACACCCGUGGCGAAAGCGGCGCGCUGGACCACCACUGACGCUGAGGAACGAAAGCUAGGGGAGCAAACAGGAUUAGAUACCCUGGUAGUCCUAGCCCUAAACGAUCAGGACUUGGGGUGCCACCCGUUCGGGUGUCGUCCCGGAGCUAACGCGUUAAGUCCUGCACCUGGGGAGUACGGUCGCAAGACUGAAACUCAAAGGAAUUGACGGGGGCCCGCACAAGCGGUGGAACAUGUGGUUCAAUUCGACGCUACGCGAGGAACCUUACCUGGGCUCGAAAUGCUUCUGACCCGCUGUAGAAAUACGGCCUUCCCGCAAGGGACAGGAGUAUAGGCGCUGCAUGGCUGUCGUCAGCUCGUGCCGUGAGGUGUUGGGUUAAGUCCCGCAACGAGCGCAACCCUUGCACGUAGUUGCCACUCGCAAGAGGGAACUCUACGUGGACUGCUCCGGAUAACGGAGAGGAAGGUGGGGAUGACGUCAAGUCCGCAUGGCCUUUAUGUCCAGGGCUACACACGUGUUACAAUGCAGGGCACAAACCGUUGCCAACCCGCGAGGGGGAGCUAAUCGGAAAAAACUCUGCUCAGUUCGGAUUGCAGUCUGCAACUCGACUG